Urocitellus parryii (Arctic ground squirrel) is the source of this 195-nucleotide small nuclear RNA. Its record names the gene U2. It matches the Rfam family "U2 spliceosomal RNA". From Rfam's summary of the family: U2 is a small nuclear RNA (snRNA) component of the spliceosome (involved in pre-mRNA splicing). Complementary binding between U2 snRNA (in an area lying towards the 5' end but 3' to hairpin I) and the branchpoint sequence (BPS) of the intron results the bulging out of an unpaired adenosine, on the BPS, which initiates a nucleophilic attack at the intronic 5' splice site, thus starting the first of two transesterification reactions that mediate splicing. The record is from Ensembl. NCBI's taxonomy places the organism in Eukaryota, Metazoa, Chordata, Mammalia, Rodentia, Sciuridae.
AUUGCUUCUCACCCUUUUGGCUAAGAUCAAGUGGAAUAUCAGAUCUUAGCGGUUUAAUAUCUGAGACAUCUGCUGAGGAGUAUUUUAAAUGGAUUUUCAGAGCAGGGAGAUGGAAUGGGAGCUUUUUCUGUCAACACCACCACACAUUGACCUAGUAUUGCAUAUUGCAGCAUCUCUAGGAAUGGUGUACCAGGA